RNAcentral lists this ribosomal RNA (427 nucleotides) under uncultured bacterium. RNAcentral's name for it is "bacterial SSU rRNA". It matches the Rfam family "Bacterial small subunit ribosomal RNA", at positions 340 to 757 of the family's 1533-position model. The record is from RNAcentral.
UACGGAAGGCAGCAGUGGGGAAUAUUGCACAAUGGGCGCAAGCCUGAUGCAGCCAUGCCGCGUGUAUGAAAAAGGCCUUCGGGUUGUAAAGUACUUUCAGUCGUGAGGAAGGUGUUAAGGUUAAUAACCUUAGCAAUUGACGUUAGCGACAGAAGAAGCACCGGCUAACUCCGUGCCAGCAGCCGCGGUAAUACGGAGGGUGCGAGCGUUAAUCGGAAUUACUGGGCGUAAAGGGCACGCAGGCGGUUAAUUAAGUUGGAUGUGAAAUCCCCGGGCUUAACCUGGGAAUGGCAUUCAAGACUGGUUAGCUAGAGUCUUGUAGAGGGGGUAGAAUUCCAUGUGUAGCGGUGAAAUGCGUAGAGAUGUGGAGGAAGUACCGGUGGCGAACGGCGGCCCCGUCGGACAAAGACUGACGCUCAUGUGCGAA